GCGGAUGUAGUUUAGUGGUAGAACUUCAGCCUUCCAAGCUGAUCGUGUGGUCGCAUCCUCAUCCGCUCCA
RNAcentral lists this transfer RNA (70 nucleotides) under Ruminococcus bromii. Its description in RNAcentral is "tRNA-Gly". It matches the Rfam family "tRNA". From Rfam's summary of the family: Transfer RNA (tRNA) molecules are approximately 80 nucleotides in length. Their secondary structure includes four short double-helical elements and three loops (D, anti-codon, and T loops). Further hydrogen bonds mediate the characteristic L-shaped molecular structure. tRNAs have two regions of fundamental functional importance: the anti-codon, which is responsible for specific mRNA codon recognition, and the 3' end, to which the tRNAs corresponding amino acid is attached (by aminoacyl-tRNA synthetases). tRNAs cope with the degeneracy of the genetic code in two manners: having more than one tRNA (with a specific anti-codon) for a particular amino acid; and 'wobble' base-pairing, i.e. permitting non-standard base-pairing at the 3rd anti-codon position. The record is from RNAcentral. Lineage: Bacteria; Bacillati; Bacillota; Clostridia; Eubacteriales; Oscillospiraceae.